AAUGGUUUCAGAACUCACAGAGUUAAAGAGUUCUGGUGACGUCUCUUUCCUGAGGCGUGGUUAGAAACACUUAAGGGAGGGGUUUGACUCCGUGUGUUUCAGUCUGACUUUCGGACGUGAUGCGAAAGGGAGAAUGUGUCAGUUCUCGCCAGGUCUGAAUUUAUGAUGUUAUUCUUCAUGAUUAAAAGGCAAGAGUAGAUAAGGACUGCCUUGUGUCUGGACUGAUUUAUUCCACACGUGCUGCACUCUGCUUCUCACCGCUGUGUUUCGCUCUGCUACCGGCAAGAGAAAGAGGCCUGAGGAGGAUUUUUGCAGGAGGCACGGAUAGCUUGCAGAGUUCCGCAACGGAAGCGUGCCGGGCUCCAUGUUCAGUCUCUGUGUACCCUCUUGUCCGGUGUAAAUAAUUCCAACAGGUUAUGGAAGCUCGCCAAAGCUUUGAAGCAUUGCAGGAACGUCCCACGUGUGGGGAAGCCAGCAGGAAAGUUGCUGGGGUCCAGCUGGAGCUCUGGAGCUGUGUCUUUGAAGCUGGAAGGAGCUCGCUGGGGAGAAGCGAUCUGCCGGAGCCGGGAGGCGGAGAAAGCUACUGCCGGGAGAC
Molecule: non-coding RNA, 595 nt
Organism: Podarcis lilfordi (Lilford's wall lizard)
Lineage: Eukaryota; Metazoa; Chordata; Lepidosauria; Squamata; Lacertidae
Source: the annotation of a GenBank genome assembly